CGGUGCCAGACCGCCGCGGUAAUACCCGGUCGGCUCGAGUGGUAACCGUUAUUAUUGGGUCUAAAGGGUCUGUAGCCGGCCGGAUAAGUCUCUUGAGAAAUCUGGCAGCUUAACUGUCAGGCUUUCAGGAAAUACUGUCUGGCUCGAGGCCGGGAGAGGUGAGAGGUACUUCAGGGGUAGGGGUGAAAUCUUGUAAUCCUUGAAGGACCACCAGUGGCGAAGGUGUCUCACCAAAACGGACCUGACGGCAAGGGAAAAACGCUAGGGGCACGAACCGGAUUAAAUACCCGGGCCAGCCCUAGCCCG
This 306-nucleotide ribosomal RNA is filed under the name uncultured euryarchaeote. Its description in RNAcentral is "bacterial SSU rRNA". It matches the Rfam family "Archaeal small subunit ribosomal RNA", at positions 453 to 754 of the family's 1478-position model. Lineage: Archaea; Methanobacteriati; Methanobacteriota. The record is from RNAcentral.